CUGUGUCAUAAUGACGUCACGUCGAACGCACCUGUUAACGUGUAGUAGUCAGACGAUAAGCAGGUAUUAUUUUCCUGAACCUAUUGCGACACGACGCGGAAUUUAGGCUUCGAAAGUCAAGGGGUCAUCAUGGGGUCAUGGAUGCUGGUUUGGAUUCUGUGUAGCACAGUCACUCAGAUGCCUGUGUGUCUUCAUGGAACAAUAUCAGUCCGCUUUAAGACUGGACGGCCUCUCUAUGUGGCACUCGGCCAAACUCUUGUUUUGGAAGCCGUAUUCAAGAAGGAUCCAGACGACAAGAUAGACAUGGUGACGUGGGACCGCGAGAGAGGAAGGGACAAUGUCAGACUGUCACAUGGAAACAGAAUAUCUUUGGAGAAAGGAGAUGCACUUCUGCGGGUCACUGAUGUUGCAGAAGGGGACUUCGCGAUCUACAAGGUCACCGUUACAGACAGUAACGGAUACCAGCAGCAAGACUCCAUAGAAGUACGAAAGAUAGUGGAACCUCCAAAGGCGUCAAUUACACGUGUGCUGGAGUGUGUUGUGGAUAAUCAUGGCGUGACGCAGUGGGACAGCCCUCAGUUUUCAUGGCUGGUUGAUGGCGUUACAGUAACUAAUCAAUCCGCCCUGUUAGCAGACGGCAGUAGACUAGAUAUCUCUGAGGUUAAGGGUGUUAACUACACCUGCAUCAUCAAGAGCAGCCUGGGGACACUCACAACGCAUUAUGAAAUACCAAAAGAAUCUCAGCCCUGUUGUGCGGGACUGAUUGCAGUUGGAGUUGUAACCGCAAUAGCACUUGUGGCCGGAUCAAUUUUCCUGAAGAUGCACAGAAAACCCCAUAUACCUGCUCCCUACUAAGUCCACAUAGAUGAUUUUAUUAUAUUUAUUUACAUGUUAAUAUACCUGUAAACAUUUGUGUUUAUUCUACUCGUGCCACUGUGAUCAUAUCAUCUGUAGAUUUGAUAAAGUUC
Molecule: long non-coding RNA, 968 nt
Filed under: Sinocyclocheilus anshuiensis
Lineage: Eukaryota; Metazoa; Chordata; Actinopteri; Cypriniformes; Cyprinidae
Description: lncRNA (ENSSANG00000041871.1)
Source: RNAcentral